AGGGCACCACCAGGAGUGGAGCCUGCGGCUUAAUUUGACUCAACACGGGAAAACUCACCCGGCCCGGACACUGUAAGGAUUGACAGACUGAGAGCUCUUUCUUAAUUCAGCGGGUGGUGGUGCAUGGCCGUUCUUAGUUGGUGGAGCGAUUUGUCUGGUUAAUUCCGAUAACGAACGAGACUCUAGCCUACUAAAUAGUUCGCACAUUGUCUCUGUGUGUGUGACUUCUUAGAGGGAUUUUCGGUGUUCAGCCGCACGAAAUUGAGCAGUAACAGGUCUGUGAUGCCCUUAGAUGUCCGGGGCUGCACGCGCGCUACACUGGCAAAAUCAGCGUGCUUGUCCUUCCCCGAAAGGGGUUGGUAAACCCUUGAAAAUUUGCCGUGAUUGGGAUUGGAAAUUGCAAUUAUUUUCCAUGAACGAGGAAUUCCAAGUAAGUGCGAGUCAUCAGCUCGCGUUGAUUACGUCCCUGCCCUUUGUACACACCGCCCGUCGCUGCCCGGGACUGAGCCAUUUCGAGAA
RNAcentral lists this ribosomal RNA (519 nucleotides) under uncultured eukaryote. Its description in RNAcentral is "SSU rRNA". It matches the Rfam family "Eukaryotic small subunit ribosomal RNA", at positions 1161 to 1705 of the family's 1831-position model. The record is from RNAcentral.